ACCGCGUCGAUCCCCUCGUCCUCGAGCAUCCUCGGCCCCGUCGGCCCCUCGUCGAGCUCCAUUGUAAGUUGCCACUCCUUCCCCAUAUUUCUCUUAUGCCUGCAUCGCCAUAGUCGUCGUUGCGCACCACGACCGGAGCUCCGUCAUGGUCGCCCCAGGGGCUCCGCCCUCGUGCUCACCGUGCCCACAGGCACGCGCCCACUGCUGCUAGGCCACGCCCGCUGCUCCCCACACGUGCUCACGGCCCCCACCCGUGGCCCGUGCUUGCCCGCACCGCAUCCGCUUGCUGCGUCCCCCUCUUAUUGUCGUCGUUGCUGCUUGUUUCCGCCUCCCCGCGCAGCCCGCCAUGCCCGUGCAACUCGCGGCGGCUUGCCACCAGCCCCGCGUGCAGCCGCUGUUGGCCCUGCUGCUUGCUGCACACUGCUGCCCCCCUCCCCCCAGCAUGCAUCGCGCCCGCCUGCUACCUCUAGCGCCGCCGCUGGUGCUUGCUGCACUGCUACCUUCUUGAGUUGCCGCCGCCGGCAACUCACCUCACCUGCGCGCACGCAUCCUUGCUGCACUCCGGCCAGGCCCCGGCCGUGCGCGGCCACUCCCUCGCUCACCCCCGCUAGCUUCUGGCAGCCUUGCACGGCCGUGCCAUGCUGCCUUGGGCGCGUGCGUGCGCGUGUGCACACCACCGCCGGCUGGGCUGACUCCAGUAGGUCGGCCCUGUCUCAAUGACAGGUGGGCCCGGUUGAUUAGAUUAGUUUCUAAUCUUCUAACCCCUAUGAUUUAGUUAAAAGUUAGGUCUAACCCCAUAUUAGCAGAAAACCCCCUGGUUAAGGGAUAAACUAAACCUAGUGCAGAGAUAAAAAAAUAUAUAAAGAAAACAAUUUGUUUCGAUGACAAUUAGGCCCCACAUGCACAAUUCAUCGGUUGACUAGUCAUUUGUUUAUUGGGUCAACCCAGCCCACUGGCCCUACUAUCAUACACUAUGGCUAGGAUAGCACUAGGUGACAGAACUAAUUUCUGUUUUACUUUCGAAUCAAAAGAAUUCCAAAAUUUGAUUAAAACUUAAAAAAACAUAGAAAAAUAACCGUAAGUCAGAUGAAAAUAAUUUAUACAUGAAAGUUGCUCAGAACAACGAGACGAAUCCGAAUACGCAGCACAUUUGUCAGCCACAUUUCCCUAGGAUAGCAAACAUGCAACAAUCCACCUCCGUUUCAUUUGUCCAAAAAUGCUGAACACCAGGGAUACUUUCCCGGAUGUUUCCCCCUUCGCCAGUAUCACCUACUACCGCAUUAGGGCACACCUAGCACCGUUCUUUGUCAAGUCAUGCAUCAUCAUGCUUAUGUUUGCAUUAUAUUUAUUGUUUCUUCCCCCUCUUCUCUCCGGUAGACUAUGAACUGACGCCGCUGCUGCCCCGGUCUAUACGGAGUUGACGAGCCGUCCUUCUUGCCAGAGCAACCAGGCAAGCCACCCUUGAUCACCAGAUAUCGCCUAUUCCUUCCCUCUAUUGCUUGCAUUAGAUUACUGUAGCAUGUUACUGUUUCGGUUAAUCCUAUUCUGUUGCAUAGCAUAUCAUUGUUGCUACAGUUGUUGAUACCUUACCUACAAUCCUUAAUGCUUAGUAUAGGAUGCUAGUUUAUCAUCUAUGGCCCUACAUUCUUGUCCAUCUGCCUUGCUAUUCUAUCAGGUCCUGAUCACUCGGGAGGUGAUCACGGCUAUAUAUUAUACAUACAUACAUGUUAUUCAGAUGGUGACUAAAGUCGGGUCGGCUCGUAGAGUACCCGCAAGUGAUUCAGAGAUGGGGGCUGAAGGGGCAGGUUGUUCCAUCCAGGUAGUGAUGGGCCUGUGUUCCCGACAGCCCCCUGAUGGUUACUUUGUGGCGAAGCGACAGGGCAGGUUGAGACCACCUAGGUGAGAGGUGGGCCUGGCCCUAGUCCGCGUUCGCGCUUAUUUCAUAAUAAUAUGCUUAAUGAGAUCUGGUAUUUGAUCUGAGUCUGGCCACUGGCCUAUACACACAAACCAACUACACGAGGACAGUUAUGGGCACUCGACAUCGUGGUAUCAGCAGAAGCCUUCUUGACGUCAGCGACUGAGCAGCGCGCACCGGGUUGGACCAAGUAACGCAACUUCCUUUGUAAUGGUGGUUGCUAGGUCUGCUCACCGCCCGCCCUCGCAACGUGCAGGUGUGUAAUGGGCGAUGGGCCCAGACCCCUACACGCAUAGGAUUUAGUCUGGCAUGCUGACCUCUCUGUUGUGCUUAGGUAGGGCUGCGACGUGUUGAUCUUCCGAGGCCGGGCAUGACCCAGGAAAGUGUGUCCGGCCAGAGGGAUCAAGCGUGUGGGGAAAUGUAGUGCACCCCUGCAGGGAAGUUUAUCUAUUCGAAUAGUCGUGUCCCUCGGUAAAAGGAUGACCCGGAGUUGUACCUUGACCUUAUGACAACUAGAACCGGAUACUUAAUAAAACACACCCAGACAAGUUCCAGAGACAACCCGGUGAUUGCUUUCCCACAUGGCGACGAGGUGAGGAUCGCUGGGUAGGAUUAUGCUAUGCGACAAUACUUGGUGAACUUGCAAUCUACUCUCUUCUACAUGUUGCAAGAUGGAGGCUGCCAGAAGCGUAGUCUUCGAUAGGACUAGCUAUCCCCCUCUUAUUCUAGCAUUCUGCAGUUCAGUCCACCAGUAUUGCCUCUUUACACAUAUACCCAUGAAUAUGUAGUGUAGAUCCUUGCUUGCGAGUACCUUGGAUGAGUACUCACGGUUGCUUUGCUCCCGCUUUCCCCCCUUUUUCCUCUUCUUCUCGGAUGUCGCAACAAGAUGUUGGAGCCGGGGAGCCAGACGCCACCGUCGACGAUGACCCCUACUAUGCCGAGGGUGCCUACUACUACGUUUAGGUCGCUAGCGACCAGGAGUAGUUUAGGAGGAUCGCAGGCAGGAGGCAUGCGCCUCUUUCGAUCUGUAUCCCAGUUUGUGCUAGCCAUCUUAUGGCAACUUGUUUAACUUAUGUCUGUACUUAGAUAUUGUUGGUUCCGCUAACUCGUUUAUGUUCUAGCACUUAUAUUCGAGCCCUCGAGGCCCCUGGCUUGUAAUAUGAUGCUUGUAUGACUUAUUUUAUUUUUU
Molecule: long non-coding RNA, 3104 nt
Filed under: Triticum aestivum (bread wheat)
Lineage: Eukaryota; Viridiplantae; Streptophyta; Magnoliopsida; Poales; Poaceae
Description: long non-coding RNA (TAES_LNC003122)
Source: RNAcentral